Molecule: ribosomal RNA, 756 nt
Filed under: uncultured bacterium
Lineage: Bacteria
Description: bacterial SSU rRNA
Rfam family: Bacterial small subunit ribosomal RNA
Source: RNAcentral
AGAGUUUGAUCCUGGCUCAGAAUCAACGCUGGCGGCGUGCCUAACACAUGCAAGUCGCACGAGAAAGUGGAGCAAUCCAUGAGUAAAGUGGCGCACGGGUGAGUAACACGUGAAUCAUCUACCUCCGAGUGGGGAAUAACCUAGAGAAAUCUGGGCUAAUACCGCAUAACACUUACGAGUCAAAGCAGCAAUGCGCUUGGAGAGGAGUUCGCGGCCGAUUAGCUAGUUGGCGGGGUAAUGGCCCACCAAGGCGAUGAUCGGUAUCCGGCCUGAGAGGGCGCACGGACACACUGGAACUGAAACACGGUCCAGACUCCUACGGGAGGCAGCAGUGGGGAAUUUUGCGCAAUGGGGGAAACCCUGACGCAGCAACGCCGCGUGGAGGAUGAAAUCCCUUGGGAUGUAAACUCCUUUCGAUAGGGAAGAUAAUGACGGUACCUAUAGAAGAAGCCCCGGCUAACUUCGUGCCAGCAGCCGCGGUAAUACGAGGGGGGCAAGCGUUGUUCGGAAUUAUUGGGCGUAAAGGGUGCGUAGGCGGUUUGACAAGUCUUAUGUGAAAUCUAUGGGCUCAACCCAUAGUCUGCAUGGGAAACUGUCGGGCUUGAGUAUGGGAGAGGUGAGUGGAAUUUCCGGUGUAGCGGUGAAAUGCGUAGAUAUCGGAAGGAACACCUGUGGCGAAAGCGGCUCACUGGACCAUUACUGACGCUGAUGCACGAAAGCUAGGGGAGCAAACAGGAUUAGAUACCCUAGUAGUCC